This 482-nucleotide ribosomal RNA is filed under the name Streptococcus sp. oral taxon 066. RNAcentral describes it as "bacterial SSU rRNA". It matches the Rfam family "Bacterial small subunit ribosomal RNA", at positions 28 to 494 of the family's 1533-position model. The record is from RNAcentral. Lineage: Bacteria; Bacillati; Bacillota; Bacilli; Lactobacillales; Streptococcaceae.
GAUGAACGCUGGCGGCGUGCCUAAUACAUGCAAGUAGAACGCUGAAGCUUGGUGCUUGCACCGAGCGGAUGAGUUGCGAACGGGUGAGUAACGCGUAGGUAACCUGCCUGGUAGCGGGGGAUAACUAUUGGAAACGAUAGCUAAUACCGCAUAACAGUCGACAUUGCAUGAUGUUGAUUUGAAAGGGGCAAAUGCUCCACUACCAGAUGGACCUGCGUUGUAUUAGCUAGUUGGUGAGGUAACGGCUCACCAAGGCGACGAUACAUAGCCGACCUGAGAGGGUGAUCGGCCACACUGGGACUGAGACACGGCCCAGACUCCUACGGGAGGCAGCAGUAGGGAAUCUUCGGCAAUGGACGGAAGUCUGACCGAGCAACGCCGCGUGAGUGAAGAAGGUUUUCGGAUCGUAAAGCUCUGUUGUGAGAGAAGAACGAGUGUGAGAGUGGAAAGUUCACACUGUGACGGAACUACCAGAAAGGACG